Molecule: ribosomal RNA, 346 nt
Filed under: Escherichia coli
Lineage: Bacteria; Pseudomonadati; Pseudomonadota; Gammaproteobacteria; Enterobacterales; Enterobacteriaceae
Description: bacterial SSU rRNA
Rfam family: Bacterial small subunit ribosomal RNA
Source: RNAcentral
CUGAGAGGAUGACCAGCCACACUGGAACUGAGACACGGUCCAGACUCCUACGGGAGGCAGCAGUGGGGAAUAUUGCACAAUGGGCGCAAGCCUGAUGCAGCCAUGCCGCGUGUAUGAAGAAGGCCUUCGGGUUGUAAAGUACUUUCAGCGGGGAGGAAGGGAGUAAAGUUAAUACCUUUGCUCAUUGACGUUACCCGCAGAAGAAGCACCGGCUAACUCCGUGCCAGCAGCCGCGGUAAUACGGAGGGUGCAAGCGUUAAUCGGAAUUACUGGGCGUAAAGCGCACGCAGGCGGUUUGUUAAGUCAGAUGUGAAAUCCCCGGGCUCAACCUGGGAACUGCAUCUGA